CCUACGUGAGGCAGCAGUGGGGACUAUUGCACAAUGGGGGAAACCCUGAUGCAGCGACGCCGCGUGAGUGAAGAAGUAAUUCGUUAUGUAAAGCUCUAUCAGCAGGGAAGAAAAUGACGGUACCUGAGUAAGAAGCCCCGGCUAACUACGUGCCAGCAGCCGCGGUAAUACGUAGGGGGCAAGCGUUAUCCGGAUUUACUGGGUGUAAAGGGAGCGUAGACGGCAGUGCAAGUCUGGAGUGAAAGGCGGGGGCUCAACCCCCGGACUGCUCUGGAAACUGUACGGCUGGAGUGCAGGAGAGGUAAGUGGAAUUCCUAGUGUAGCGGUGAAAUGCGUAGAUAUUAGGAGGAACACCAGUGGCGAAGGCGGCUUACUGGACUGUAACUGACGUUGAGGCUCGAAAGCGUGGGGAGCAAACAGGAUUAGAUACCCGAGUAGUC
This 440-nucleotide ribosomal RNA is filed under the name uncultured bacterium. Its description in RNAcentral is "partial 16S ribosomal RNA". It matches the Rfam family "Bacterial small subunit ribosomal RNA", at positions 338 to 795 of the family's 1533-position model. The record is from RNAcentral.